Molecule: non-coding RNA, 108 nt
Organism: Daucus carota subsp. sativus
Lineage: Eukaryota; Viridiplantae; Streptophyta; Magnoliopsida; Apiales; Apiaceae
Source: Rfam
AUUGCUGUGAUGAGGCUAAACACCUAAUUGGUGUAUUGGGCAGUGGACAAGGCCUUUUGGUCUUGCCGUGAUCCCUUAUUUAAACGACUUCUCCUUCCACUGAGCAUC